RNAcentral lists this ribosomal RNA (393 nucleotides) under uncultured bacterium. Its description in RNAcentral is "partial 16S ribosomal RNA". It matches the Rfam family "Bacterial small subunit ribosomal RNA", at positions 523 to 918 of the family's 1533-position model. The record is from RNAcentral.
AUACGGAGGAUGCGAGCGUUAUCCGGAUUUAUUGGGUUUAAAGGGUGCGUAGGCUGUGCGUUAAGUCAGGGGUGAAAUGCCGUCGCUCAACGACGGAGCUGCCCUUGAUACUGGCGUGCUGGAGUACGGAUGCCGUUGGAGGAAUGAGUGGUGUAGCGGUGAAAUGCUUAGAUAUCACUCAGAACACCGAUUGCGAAGGCAUCUGACGAGUCCGUCACUGACGCUGAGGCACGAAAGCGUGGGGACAGAACAGGAUUAGAUACCCUGGUAUUCCACGCCGUAAACGAUGAUGACUAACCGUCGGCGAUAGACAGCCGGUGGCCAAGCGAAAGCGAUAAGUCAUCCACCUGGGGAGUACGUCGGCAACGAUGAAACUCAAAUGAAUUGACGGGG